GGGGCAUUAGCUCAGCUGGCUAGAGCGCUACGCUGGCAGCGUAGAGGUCAUCAGUUCGACUCUGAUAUGCUCCACCU
This 77-nucleotide transfer RNA is filed under the name Betaproteobacteria bacterium. RNAcentral's name for it is "tRNA-Ala". It matches the Rfam family "tRNA". Rfam says of the family: Transfer RNA (tRNA) molecules are approximately 80 nucleotides in length. Their secondary structure includes four short double-helical elements and three loops (D, anti-codon, and T loops). Lineage: Bacteria; Pseudomonadati; Pseudomonadota; Betaproteobacteria. RNAcentral also lists the same sequence under 1 other name. The record is from RNAcentral.